This 65-nucleotide transfer RNA is filed under the name Micromorphus albipes. Its description in RNAcentral is "tRNA-Asn". Lineage: Eukaryota; Metazoa; Arthropoda; Insecta; Diptera; Dolichopodidae. The record is from RNAcentral.
UUAAUUGAAGCCAAAAAGAGGCAUAUUACUGUUAAUAAUAUAAUUAAGGAAAUCCUUCAAUUAAA